This 75-nucleotide transfer RNA is filed under the name Chryseobacterium jejuense. RNAcentral describes it as "tRNA-Lys". It matches the Rfam family "tRNA". Rfam says of the family: Transfer RNA (tRNA) molecules are approximately 80 nucleotides in length. Their secondary structure includes four short double-helical elements and three loops (D, anti-codon, and T loops). The record is from RNAcentral. Lineage: Bacteria; Pseudomonadati; Bacteroidota; Flavobacteriia; Flavobacteriales; Weeksellaceae.
GGAUAGGUUAGUUCAGCGGUAGAACACCCGGCUCUUUAACCGGGUUGACGCAGGUUCGAGCCCUGCACCUAUCCU